CCUACGGGAGGCAGCAGUGAGGAAUAUUGGUCAAUGGGCGCGAGCCUGAACCAGCCAAGUCGCGUGAGGGAGGACGGCCCUACGGGUUGUAAACCUCUUUUGCCGGGGAGCAACGGGCGCCACGUGUGGCGUCACUGCGAGUACCCGGCGUACAAGCAUCUGCUAACUCCGUGCCAGCGGCCGCGGUAAUACGGAGGAUGCGCGCGUUAUCCGGUUUUAUUGGUUUUAAGGGGUGAGUAGGGGGAUCGUUAAGUCCGUGGUCAAAUGGAGGGGCUCACCCCCUGCCCGCCAUUGAAACUGGCGUGCUGGAGUGGAAGAGAAGUAUGCGGAAGGCGUGGUGUAGCGGUGAAAUGCAUAGAUAUCACGCAGAACCCCGAUUGCGAAGGCAGCAUGCCGGCUUCCGACUGACGCUGAAGCACGAAAGCGUGGGGAUCGAAUAGGAUUAGAUACCCGGGUAGUC
This 460-nucleotide ribosomal RNA is filed under the name uncultured bacterium. Its description in RNAcentral is "partial 16S ribosomal RNA". It matches the Rfam family "Bacterial small subunit ribosomal RNA", at positions 338 to 795 of the family's 1533-position model. The record is from RNAcentral.